Molecule: transfer RNA, 72 nt
Filed under: Candidatus Pacearchaeota archaeon
Lineage: Archaea; Nanobdellati
Description: tRNA-Asp
Rfam family: tRNA
About the family: Transfer RNA (tRNA) molecules are approximately 80 nucleotides in length. Their secondary structure includes four short double-helical elements and three loops (D, anti-codon, and T loops).
Source: RNAcentral
GCCCAAAUCGUAUAACGGCUAGUACACAACCCUGUCGCGGUUGAGACCCGGGUUCAAUUCCCGGUUUGGGCG